RNAcentral lists this long non-coding RNA (629 nucleotides) under Carica papaya (papaya). RNAcentral's name for it is "long non-coding RNA (CPAP_LNC009801)". Lineage: Eukaryota; Viridiplantae; Streptophyta; Magnoliopsida; Brassicales; Caricaceae. The record is from RNAcentral.
CACUAACACGUAUAUGCGGGUUGUGCCUACGCACAGCACGCACAUAGUUGUGGACACGCAAGUGCACAAAAAAAUUUUCAAAUGCCCAUCUGUGCAUUGAAACGAGGGGACACUGCACUCAGACACACAAACAAGGUUCACCUAUAAUACUCACACAUGCGGACCAAACUGUUUCCCUUCAACCCAAGAAAAAUCCCCUCAAACUUUUGGCCACGGCUAGGGAAAAUCAUUUUUCCAAAACCACAAGCAUGCAAGUAAUGUUGCAUGCCAAGCCCGAGGACACAACCCACGGACAGCACCUGCAUGCUAUCUGAGUGUUUUCUAGCUUAUGGCCCUAAUGUGAUGGAUACCAGCUCCAUCUGCUAAGAUGUCCAAACUACAUGAGUUUUCUAGCAAGUUUUCUCGGCCAAUUGUUGACCUCUCCAUCUUACCCUCCCAUGUUGUUGGCCACCCAAAUCGAACCAAAGGCCUGGAUCACUUGCAUGUGAUCUGAUGGCUAAAUUUUAAGCAGAAAAUUCUAACUUAAAUGGGUUUUGUCUUUUCCUUCAUUCCUUAUUUCUUCCAAUCGAAAAGAAGAGCAAAAAAUUGAGAGAGAGUUAAGAGAAAACCAUAGGAGAAUUAGUGAGAAC